CCUGCCCUGUGACAAUGUUUAACGGCCGCGGUAUUUUGACCGUGCGAAGGUAGCGUAAUCACUUGUCUUUUAAAUGAAGACCUGUAUGAAAGGCAUCACGAGAGUUUAACUGUCUCUAUUUUCUAAUCAAUGAAAUUGAUCUUCUCGUGCAGAAGCGAGAAUAUUACCAUAAGACGAGAAGACCCUAUGGAGCUUCAAACACUUAAAUUAAUUAUGUAAAAUUAUAAUCCUGAGGGGAAAAAAUCAUUCAUAUAAUAUUCCUAAUUUAACUGUUUUUGGUUGGGGUGACCGAGGGGGAAAGGAAAUCCCCCUUAUCGACUGAGUACUGAGUACUUAAAAAUUAGAACGACAGUUCUGAUUAAUAAAACAUUUACCGAAAAAUGACCCAGAUUUUUUUCUGAUCAAUGAACCAAGUUACCCUAGGGAUAACAGCGCAAUCCUUUCCCAGAGUCCCUAUCGCCGAAAGGGUUUACGACCUCGAUGUUGGAUCAGGACAUCCUAAU
RNAcentral lists this ribosomal RNA (503 nucleotides) under Centrophorus granulosus (gulper shark). RNAcentral describes it as "partial 16S ribosomal RNA". It matches the Rfam family "Bacterial large subunit ribosomal RNA", at positions 1858 to 2551 of the family's 2925-position model. Lineage: Eukaryota; Metazoa; Chordata; Chondrichthyes; Squaliformes; Centrophoridae. The record is from RNAcentral.